Molecule: ribosomal RNA, 330 nt
Filed under: Blastocystis sp.
Lineage: Eukaryota; Bigyra; Opalinata; Blastocystidae
Description: SSU rRNA
Rfam family: Eukaryotic small subunit ribosomal RNA
Source: RNAcentral
ACAAUGCGGGACUUGUAGUCUUGCAAUUGGAUUGAGACAACGUAAAACUCUUAUCGAUAAGCCAUUGGAGGGCAAGUCUGGUGCCAGCAGCCGCGGUAAUUCCAGCUCCAAUAGCGUAUAUUAACGUUGUUGCAGUUAAAAAGCUCGUAGUUGAAGUGAGGGAGUGUGUGUUGUGAUCGAAUCGAUCGAGAGCAGUACAAGCUCCCCCUUCCAAUGGGUGUAUUGGGGUAUUCAUUUACUUCAUUACUCCUUUGGUCGUUUACUGUGAGAAAAUUAGAGUGUUCAAAGCGGGCGUUUGUUUGAAUAGAUUAGCAUGGAAUAAUGAUUGAA